UGGGAAACUGGUAUUUCUUCGGACAUUUUGCAAGGUGCUGCAUGGUUGUCGUCAGCUCGUGCCGUGAGGUGUCGGGUUAAGUCCCAUAACGAGCGCAACCCCUACUGUUAGUUGCCAUCAGGUCAUGCUGGGGACUCUAACAAAACUGCCCGCGUAAGCGUGGAGGAAGGUGGGGAUGACGUCAAAUCAGCACGGCCCUUACGUCCAGGGCUACACACGUGCUACAAUGGCCGGUACAGAGGGCAGCCACUUGGUGACAAGGAGCAAAUCUCAAAAAGCCGGUCUCAGUUCGGAUCGGAGUCUGCAACUCGACUCCGUGAAGUUGGAUUCGCUAGUAAUCGUAGAUCAGCAAUGCUACGGUGAAUACGUUCCCGGGCCUU
RNAcentral lists this ribosomal RNA (380 nucleotides) under uncultured Bacteroidota bacterium. RNAcentral's name for it is "bacterial SSU rRNA". It matches the Rfam family "Bacterial small subunit ribosomal RNA", at positions 1000 to 1382 of the family's 1533-position model. Lineage: Bacteria; Pseudomonadati; Bacteroidota. The record is from RNAcentral.